RNAcentral lists this ribosomal RNA (925 nucleotides) under Bacillus sp. UST050418-685. Its description in RNAcentral is "bacterial SSU rRNA". It matches the Rfam family "Bacterial small subunit ribosomal RNA", at positions 68 to 972 of the family's 1533-position model. Lineage: Bacteria; Bacillati; Bacillota; Bacilli; Caryophanales; Bacillaceae. The record is from RNAcentral.
UGGAUUGAGAGCUUGCUCUCACCGAAGUUAGAAGCGGACGGGUGAGUAACACGUGGGUAACCUGCCCAUAAGACUGGGAUAACUCCGGGAAACCGGGGCUAAUACCGGAUAACAUUUUGAACUGCAUGGUUCGAAAUUGAAAGGCGGCUUCGGCUGUCACUUAUGGAUGGACCCGCGUCGCAUUAGCUAGUUGGUGAGGUAACGGCUCACCAAGGCAACGAUGCGUAGCCGACCUGAGAGGGUGAUCGGCCACACUGGGACUGAGACACGGCCCAGACUCCUACGGGAGGCAGCAGUAGGGAAUCUUCCGCAAUGGACGAAAAGUCUGACGGAGCAAACGCCGCGUGAGUGAUGAAGGCUUUCGGGUCGUAAAACUCUGUUGUUAGGGAAGAACAAGUGCUAGUUGAAUAAGCUGGCACCUUGACGGUACCUAACCAGAAAGCCACGGCUAAACUACGUGCCAGCAGCCGCGGUAAUACGUAGGUGGCAAGCGUUAUCCGGAAUUAUUGGGCGUAAAGCGCGCGCAGGUGGUUUCUUAAGUCUGAUGUGAAAGCCCACGGCUCAACCGUGGAGGGUCAUUGGAAACUGGGAGACUUGAGUGCAGAAGAGGAAAGUGGAAUUCCAUGUGUAGCGGUGAAAUGCGUAGAGAUAUGGAGGAACACCAGUGGCGAAGGCGACUUUCUGGUCUGUAACUGACACUGAGGCGCGAAAGCGUGGGGAGCAUACAGGAUUAGAUACCCUGGUAGUCCACGCCGUAAACGAUGAGUGCUAAGUGUUAGAGGGUUUCCGCCCUUUAGUGCUGAAGUUAACGCAUUAAGCACUCCGCCUGGGGAGUACGGCCGCAAGGCUGAAACUCAAAGGAAUUGACGGGGGCCCGCACAAGCGGUGGAGCAUGUGGUUAAUUCGAAGCAACGCGAAGAACCUU